Molecule: RNase P RNA, 372 nt
Filed under: Gemmatimonadota bacterium
Lineage: Bacteria; Pseudomonadati; Gemmatimonadota
Description: RNase P RNA component class A
Rfam family: Bacterial RNase P class A
About the family: Ribonuclease P (RNase P) is a ubiquitous endoribonuclease, found in archaea, bacteria and eukarya as well as chloroplasts and mitochondria.
Source: RNAcentral
GCUGUUGACUGGACGGUCGCGAUCUGGUCCCUGAUUCAAACCAGAUCGAGGAAAGUCCGGGCUCCGGUGGACAAGUCGCCAGGUAACUCCUGGGCGGAUCGCAAGGUCCGACGGACAGUGCCACAGAAAACAACCGCCUUCGGAAACCGGAGGUAAGGGUGAAAAGGUGGGGUAAGAGCCCACCGCAUUCGUGGUGACACGGAUGGCUAGGUAAACCCCGACUGGAGCAAGGCCAAAUAGGCGGCGAGGGUGUCCACCCCGACAAAGCCGCGGGUAGGCCGCUAGAGGGUGCGGGUGACCGUACUCCGAGAGGAAUGAUCGUCGAAGCAGUUCGCUGCUGGACAGAACCCGGCUUAUAGGUCAACAGCUCGG